GCGGCGGACGGGUGAGUAACACGUGGGUAACCUGCCUGUAAGACUGGGAUAACUCCGGGAAACCGGGGCUAAUACCGGAUGCUUGUUUGAACCGCAUGGUUCAAACAUAAAAGGUGGCUUCGGCUACCACUUACAGAUGGACCCGCGGCGCAUUAGCUAGUUGGUGAGGUAACGGCUCACCAAGGCGACGAUGCGUAGCCGACCUGAGAGGGUGAUCGGCCACACUGGGACUGAGACACGGCCCAGACUCCUACGGGAGGCAGCAGUAGGGAAUCUUCCGCAAUGGACGAAAGUCUGACGGAGCAACGCCGCGUGAGUGAUGAAGGUUUUCGGAUCGUAAAGCUCUGUUGUUAGGGAAGAACAAGUGCCGUUCAAAUAGGGCGGCACCUUGACGGUACCUAACCAGAAAGCCACGGCUAACUACGUGCCAGCAGCCGCGGUAAUACGUAGGUGGCAAGCGUUGUCCGGAAUUAUUGGGCGUAAAGGGCUCGCAGGCGGUUUCUUAAGUCUGAUGUGAAAGCCCCCGGCUCAACCGGGGAGGGUCAUUGGAAACUGGGGAACUUGAGUGCAGAAGAGGAGAGUGGAAUUCCACGUGUAGCGGUGAAAUGCGUAGAGAUGUGGAGGAACACCAGUGGCGAAGGCGACUCUCUGGUCUGUAACUGACGCUGAGGAGCGAAAGCGUGGGGAGCGAACAGGAUUAGAUACCCUGGUAGUCCACGCCGUAAACGAUGAGUGCUAAGUGUUAGGGGGUUUCCGCCCCUUAGUGCUGCAGCUAACGCAUUAAGCACUCCGCCUGGGGAGUACGGUCGCAAGACUGAAACUCAAAGGAAUUGACGGGGGCCCGCACAAGCGGUGGAGCAUGUGGUUUAAUUCGAAGCAACGCGAAGAACCUUACCAGGUCUUGACAUCCUCUGACAAUCCUAGAGAUAGGACGUCCCCUUCGGGGGCAGAGUGACAGGUGGUGCAUGGUUGUCGUCAGCUCGUGUCGUGAGAUGUUGGGUUAAGUCCCGCAACGAGCGCAACCCUUGAUCUUAGUUGCCAGCAUUCAGUUGGGCACUCUAAGGUGACUGCCGGUGACAAACCGGAGGAAGGUGGGGAUGACGUCAAAUCAUCAUGCCCCUUAUGACCUGGGCUACACACGUGCUACAAUGGGCAGAACAAAGGGCAGCGAAACCGCGAGGUUAAGCCAAUCCCACAAAUCUGUUCUCAGUUCGGAUCGCAGUCUGCAACUCGACU
RNAcentral lists this ribosomal RNA (1236 nucleotides) under Bacillus amyloliquefaciens. RNAcentral's name for it is "bacterial SSU rRNA". It matches the Rfam family "Bacterial small subunit ribosomal RNA", at positions 95 to 1317 of the family's 1533-position model. The record is from RNAcentral. Lineage: Bacteria; Bacillati; Bacillota; Bacilli; Caryophanales; Bacillaceae.